Molecule: long non-coding RNA, 2077 nt
Organism: Ruditapes philippinarum (Manila clam)
Lineage: Eukaryota; Metazoa; Mollusca; Bivalvia; Venerida; Veneridae
Exons: 2
Source: RefSeq, a predicted model, not a curated record
AUCUUUAUUUAUAACUCAUUGUAUACAUGUCUUAAGAUUGACCUGUUUUGAAAUCUCUUUUGACGUAUGCAAUUCUGAAGCUCCUUCUUAAAGCAAGCGUGGAAAACCCAUGAACUUUGAAUUAAAUCCUCGGCAACACCACUCUUAUAAUAGCAAUACGUAAUAUUUUGGCUUUCCAUUAGACAAGAUAUGAUGAACUUCUCCUCUAUAUUUAGAAAUAAUAACUGUUCGAAUAAUGCAAAAAGAAAAGGGUCCGAACAAACAGGCUUUACAAAAUACAGUAUCGCAACAUACCAGUACAGACAAUUAAACUUGGACAAAAUAGAUAAUAUUCUAUAUAAGAAAACACAUUAAGAACCAAUUAAAUUAUCAACCCCAUUGAAAGUCAAUAGAUUAUGUUAAAUGAAAUUAAUCUUACAGACGUUUUCAGGAGUUUUUAUAUAGACAUAUAGACAAAAUUAAAACUGUUUAAUAGAAUUUCUUAAGACUUACAAGAACAGUUGGGAUAUGACACAUUAUCAUUACGGCAUCAAGUUUGCCCGAAAUCAUAAAUUUAAAAGGUAAAACAGCUCACCAACUAUUUCAAUUUUACACCAUUAUUUAUGACAAUUGAGUCCAUUAUAUGUCAUUAACUUAUCAAAAUGUUGGCAACUCAACUCAUUAGUAGAACAAAGCACGGUUUUAAUCGAAGACGUUAUAAUUAUUAUGACAAAUAUGUUAUUAAGAUAGCGUAAAGUAGUACAAAUCUUACUUUGAAUGUGUAUUGAAUAUUUCAAAAUACUUUGGAAUGUUCAAUGAAAUCAACCAUCAUCGUUGUCAAUCCUAGAACACACCUAUUUAUAAGUAUUCUAGCGGAAACAAGUGUUAUACAUUCGUAUAUAUUGCAUUACUUCAUAAACUAAUUUUAGAAUAAAAUUUCCAUGGUUCUAGCUAUAUAAGGUACAUAUUUUGAUAUAGAUAUAAAGACCAACCAUGGGCGAUAUAAACGAAAAUUGGAGCUUAACCUUAAAAAAAUCAAAUGAUUCUAGUUAUUCAGAGGACCACAUAGCUGUUUAUGGAUGCGAAUAUAAAGAACCUCCAGGCGACUGGUAUAUAAGAGGAACUAGGUUUCAUGUCCGUAAUUUGAUAAGAGUUUGUUAUUGUGGAAGGUAUAAGAACAGAGAAAAAAUGUUAGACAGAGAAUCAAUAAAAAUAUAUGAGUAUGACGACGGCGUAGAACUGCAUGUAGAAGAAGAUUGUAAAUAUAACCCAAAGCGAAUUCCAGUUGAAUUACAAAGGUACGAAUCAAAAGGGUCACUCCAAAAACUUGUCCAACAUGACAGGUACUGCAGCUGUGAGGAUAAGAUUUGGCCUGUGGCUCAACGAUAAUCACUUUAAAGUAUGUUGUUUAAAGAAAAAAGAUUUUGAGAUUACGAUCAUCUGGUAACAUAUACUUGUAACACAGCCGUGAAAAAGAAAACAACAGAAAAGCCUGUUCAAAUAAUUGAUAUGUUGUGACUAUGUUCGAUUUCACAUAUCGGUGACCUUGUGAUAUAUAUUUGAAACACAGCCUUGGCAGAAACAGCAUGGAAACAAAUAAAACUAUUUCAUUCCGAAAGAGAUGCAAAAGGCAAAGAAUUACCCAAGGAAAGAAGAAACAUUAAAGAUAAAAGAUAGAUGAAACGUAUAAUUAGGACUUUUCAACGCACAAUAUUUCGUUAUAUGUUAUACUUUUGUGUGAUUUCUUAUGUCAAGGGUUCAAACACUUGUUUCUUGCUUAGGAAUAUAAGUAUUGUAUUUGGAUAUAAACAAUAUAGUUUGAAACAACAAAUCUUCUUUUACUAUAAUUUGCUAUUUAAAAUAAUGUGUUUAAGAUGUGUUUAAUUAAAUAUUGCAAAACAAAUGGUAAUUUUAUUUUUUCUCGCUUUUAAAUAUUUUCAGUUUUUCAAACAAAUAUCUGUCGAAUUUUAUAUUCAAAUUGCUUCCUGAGUUUGAAAUGAACACUUAUGCAAUGUCCAAAAUGUUCUACCUUUUUGCUCAUUGCUGUGCAUGUUAAGAUAAUCAUAUAUCAUUAGUUAUUACAUACAUUCGAAACAGG